This 68-nucleotide transfer RNA is filed under the name Marmota monax (woodchuck). RNAcentral describes it as "tRNA.Ala". Lineage: Eukaryota; Metazoa; Chordata; Mammalia; Rodentia; Sciuridae. The record is from RNAcentral.
GUAUGUGGCUCAGUGGUAGAUCACUAGCCUAGCAUGCACAAAUCCUGGGUUCAAUUCCCAGCACUGCA